UUUAAUAUAAUAAUAACAGGAAUGGGGGAA
RNAcentral lists this non-coding RNA (30 nucleotides) under Rattus norvegicus (Norway rat). The record is from RNAcentral. Lineage: Eukaryota; Metazoa; Chordata; Mammalia; Rodentia; Muridae.